GGUUGGUCCCAAUGCAGUGGUGUUUAGAACUAAUUGAUCACAACCAGUUACAGAUUCCUUUGUUCCUUCUCCACUCCCACUGCCCCACUUGAGCAGCCUUAA
This 102-nucleotide Y RNA is filed under the name Microcebus murinus (gray mouse lemur). RNAcentral's name for it is "Y RNA (ENSMICG00000047944.1)". It matches the Rfam family "Y RNA". Rfam says of the family: Y RNAs are components of the Ro ribonucleoprotein particle (Ro RNP), in association with Ro60 and La proteins. The Y RNAs and Ro60 and La proteins are well conserved, but the function of the Ro RNP is not known. Lineage: Eukaryota; Metazoa; Chordata; Mammalia; Primates; Cheirogaleidae. The record is from Rfam by way of RNAcentral.